GGCAGUGCCAAGCACCCCUGGCAGCCCUGCAGAGGGUUCUCAAAUCCAGAUUUCAUUCUGCAGUCCCGGCAGUGUUUUGACGACUGCCUCACUAAAGGAAGCUAAAAGCUGUGCUGAUGCCUCCCAGACGAGCCUCGUUGGAAGCACAGAACCUUCACGGCUCGGAGCCGCUGACACCGUGACAAAGGGAGCCCUGCUCAGGAGAAAGAGCAAAUGAGAGGCAGUUGCACUUUUUCAGGUGUCAGGCUGGAGGAAGCCACUUGAAGAUGAAUCUACCUCUGCCUUAGGAUUGCCUGAUGGCCUGUGCCAUUCCAUGUUAUAUCUACUGAUUUGCUCCCUGUAUUCAAAGAUUUUUUUUUUUUACUUAAUUCUCUCUUACUGACCCUGAGAGUGACCAUAUUUUUAACCAAUUUGGUCUUCAGCCUCAAAACUUAGCUCUUUCCUUUUGUGGUCCCCGAAUCCUAUCACGUGUCAUGGUGGCUGUGAAGAUGUUUGCCAAGCCUGCUGAGAAGGCUCAUCUGUGGCAUCCAAAAGCAGAGAUUUCAACUCUGGACCCCUGUGACCUGCCUUUGUAAUUAUGGAUACCCAGCACUGUUUUGAAAUAUCAGUGGACAUCCAGUUUUUAAAAGCCCUCAGAGCUUUGGGAGACACCCCUUUAUCUCUCUGGCAUGUCAGAGAACCGAUUCAACCCUUCUCAUCUCCUCCUCCUUCCCUCUCUUGGGCCAUCAGGAUGCGGCAGCAACUCACUGUGCAUGUUUUUACAGCUCUUCUCCAGUAAUGCUGCCAUUUCCACUGCAGACCACAGGAUAAAAGGACCGCUUCACCGUGGCCCAGGAUACCCUUUUAAGUAGGAGGCUCAGUUGGAUCUCCAAGUGGCGGUACCGUUCUCUCCACUUCAAAAAUACACAGAAACAUGUGGAAAUGUUCUGUCAUCCAGAAUGAAAAGCAUGUGCACCAAAUUUUCACAGACCUGAUUCGAAUGUAGAUAAAAGUGCAAAAUCCAGAGGAGGGAACACGCUAUAGAAAUCCUGUCUUCUAUACUAUAAUUUAAUCAUCGUGUGCCACAGAAUGUCUUUGCAUAAAUUACAACCACAAUAAUAGCAUCACUUUCACAAAAGGUGGCCUCUAAUCGAUUUGACUCUCCAAGAGAUGGCUGGGUUUUUCAAAGCAGAGAAAUGAUGACCUGCAGUCUUAAAGAGCUGUUGAUUGCACCUGGGGCUCCCGUGGCCGGCGCCCAUCGAGCAGCCCAUCCUGGCUGUUCCCUUGUUCAGCUGAUUUUCUUUUUUAUCUUGACAUUUGCUAACCGCUUGGUUUUUAUUUUCCGGGAAGAGAGGAUUAUUGGCAACUGGCACCACCCCCAUGUCUGGAGGAGGGACGUUUCUAGGAUGACCCCCAGAGUGGAGAAAUAGCCGAGCUCAUGAGGCAACCCACACAGGCAGGCUGGAGAGGAGUGGCAAGAAGCUCACCUUCGGACAGUAGUGAGCAGAGCAACAGAGGCCCCCAGAGACUUCGCACAACGGAAAAGAGAUCAACUCCCGCAUUUGCAGGGGACGUGAAAGUGCAAUACUGUGAGGAACAAAAGGAAGCCUCAUCUCUGGAAGCCGGGAGGAAAAACAGUCGGUGUAGACAGCAGCGGCAGGGACCAGAGCUGACCAGAAGGCUGGGUCCCAGCAACAAUUAGAGACAGGCAGCAGCUGAGGCCCCUUCUCUGAGAACCAUUUCAAUUGCACAGUGGCCACAGAAGGCUCCAUUGGCCCGGCAGCCAGCUCUGCAGAGCCAUUUGUCCACAAGGAAAAUAAUAGCCCCGGCCUCAUUGCUUUGGGCUGCAGGGAGGACAAUGACCCACCAUGAAAAGAGUUAAAAAGAUUCUGGGGAAGGGGAAAGGCAGGCCCACACGGUGGCAAUUCAAGAUCUUUUGGAUGCCGUGAGCGUGUUCUUUAAUUAAGCCCCUCUUCUUCAGCU
RNAcentral lists this long non-coding RNA (1962 nucleotides) under Homo sapiens (human). RNAcentral describes it as "HSALNT0300019". The record is from RNAcentral. Lineage: Eukaryota; Metazoa; Chordata; Mammalia; Primates; Hominidae.